UGAGGGAAAGUUGCAAAGAACUUUGAAGAGAGAGUUCAAGAGAACGUGAAAUCGUUAAAGUGGAACCGGAGAGAGUUGACGAAGCGUUUGUGGUAAAGACUUUCGUGAUUGCUUCAGUGAACGCGAUUGUUGGAUCUGCAUUUGGCUGCGUUGGUAGGGUUAUUGGUGUUAGUCGAAACGUGUUGUGCUGCCCACUUUUGUGGUGACUAGCUUACGUGGAGGCUGAUUGCUGGUACCCUUUAGCUUUGCUUGCAAGGUACCAAUGUUCAAGUUGACCACCUUUCCGACCCGUCUUGAAACACGGACCGAGGAGUGUAGCUAGUGCGCGAGUCAAAGGGUGUCAAACCCCGCGGCGCAWUGAAAGUAAAGGCCAGUUUACUGGUUUUACAUAGGAGUUGUUCUUUGAGCAAUGCACUAUGGCCCUGUUUUGAAAGCUUGCUUUUGGGCAGAGGAAGAGCGUACUGGUUGCGACCCGAAAGAUGGUGAACUAUACUUGAGCAGGACGAAGUCAGAGGAAACUCUGAUGGAAGUCCGUAUCGGUUCUGACGUGCAAAUCGAUCGAUAGACUUGUGUAUAGGGGCGAAAGACUAAUCGAACCAUCUAGUA
RNAcentral lists this ribosomal RNA (606 nucleotides) under Angiostoma gandavense. RNAcentral's name for it is "partial large subunit ribosomal RNA". It matches the Rfam family "Eukaryotic large subunit ribosomal RNA", at positions 354 to 949 of the family's 3401-position model. The record is from RNAcentral. Lineage: Eukaryota; Metazoa; Nematoda; Chromadorea; Rhabditida; Angiostomatidae.